AGCGAACGCUGGCGGCAGGCCUAACACAUGCAAGUCGAACGAACUCUUCGGAGUUAGUGGCGGACGGGUGAGUAACACGUGGGAACGUGCCUUUUGGUUCGGAAUAACUCAGGGAAACUUGUGCUAAUACCGAAUGCGCCCUUCGGGGGAAAGAUUUAUCGCCAUUAGAGCGGCCCGCGUCUGAUUAGCUAGUUGGUGAGGUAACGGCUCACCAAGGCGACGAUCAGUAGCUGGUCUGAGAGGAUGACCAGCCACACUGGGACUGAGACACGGCCCAGACUCCUACGGGAGGCAGCAGUGGGGAACCUUGCGCAAUGGGCGAAAGCCUGACGCAGCCAUGCCGCGUGAAUGAUGAAGGUCUUAGGAUUGUAAAAUUCUUUCACCGGGGACGAUAAUGACGGUACCCGGAGAAGAAGCCCCGGCUAACUUCGUG
This 433-nucleotide ribosomal RNA is filed under the name uncultured bacterium. RNAcentral's name for it is "partial 16S ribosomal RNA". It matches the Rfam family "Bacterial small subunit ribosomal RNA", at positions 29 to 507 of the family's 1533-position model. The record is from RNAcentral.